RNAcentral lists this long non-coding RNA (445 nucleotides) under Ananas comosus (pineapple). RNAcentral's name for it is "long non-coding RNA (ACOM_LNC000643)". The record is from RNAcentral. Lineage: Eukaryota; Viridiplantae; Streptophyta; Magnoliopsida; Poales; Bromeliaceae.
AGACAAUUCUUAAGCCCCCGUUUGGUUCGGGUUAAGAAACAGUAGCUAUUCCAGGAAUAGGGUUAAGUUCAGGGUUAAAAUGGUGUUAAAAUUUUUUUGUGUUUGGUUGGAGGUUGGAGUUAGUCUAGGAUAGUGAAAAAAAGUGUUUGGUUGGAGUAGGUGGGAUAAGAAGAUAAUGAUUGAUAAAGAAGAAAAAGGUUAGAGCUCGGGAUGCAUGCGGGGUUAAAGUUGGGAGGGGGAGUGGGGUUAAUGAUUGAUAAAGAAGAAAAAUGUGAGGGCUCGGGAUGCGUGCGGGGUUAAAGUUGGGAGGGGGAGUGGGGUUAGUAAACCCCACUAACCCGGUUUGUACUAACCCCACUAACCCGGUUUGGGGUGGGGUUUACUAACCCCACCCCAAAAGAGUGGUGUUUGGGUAUAAAUUGGGGGUUAAGGGGUUAUUCCACCC